This 434-nucleotide ribosomal RNA is filed under the name uncultured bacterium. Its description in RNAcentral is "bacterial SSU rRNA". It matches the Rfam family "Bacterial small subunit ribosomal RNA", at positions 143 to 554 of the family's 1533-position model. The record is from RNAcentral.
AUAUCCUUCCGAAAGGAGGGGCAAUACCGAAUAUUGUCCGGAGCCGUGAAGGGUUCCGGGGAAAGGGAGGCCUCUGAUACAAGCUUUCGCCUUAAGAUGAGCCCAUGGCCCAUCAGCUAGUUGGUAGGGUAAAGGCCUACCAAGGCUACCGACGGGUCGCUGGUCUGAGAGGACGACCAGCCACACUGGCACUGAGAUACGGGCCAGACUCCUACGGGAGGCAGCAGUGAGGAAUAUUGCGCAAUGGGGGAAACCCUGACGCAGCAACGCCGCGUGUGGGAAGAAGGCCUUCGGGUCGUAAACCACUUUUGCACGGGACGAAAAAGGGAUAUCGAACAAAUAUCCCCGAUGACGGUACCGUGAGAAUAAGCCACGGCUAACUCUGUGCCAGCAGCCGCGGUAAGACAGAGGUGGCAAGCGUUGUUCGGAAUUAC